AACGCGAAGAACCUUACCUGGCCUUGACAUGUCCGGAAUCCUGCAGAGAUGCGGGAGUGCCUUCGGGAAUCGGAACACAGGUGCUGCAUGGCUGUCGUCAGCUCGUGUCGUGAGAUGUUGGGUUAAGUCCCGCAACGAGCGCAACCCUUGUCCUUAGUUGCCAGCGAGUAAUGUCGGGAACUCUAAGGAGACUGCCGGUGACAAACCGGAGGAAGGUGGGGAUGACGUCAAGUCCUCAUGGCCCUUACGGCCAGGGCUACACACGUACUACAAUGGUCGGUACAGAGGGUUGCGAAGCCGCGAGGUGGAGCCAAUCCCAGAAAGCCGAUCCCAGUCCGGAUCGAAGUCUGCAACUCGACUUCGUGAAGUCGGAAUCGCUAGUAAUCGCGGAUCAGCUAUGCCGCGGUGAAUACGUUCCCGGGCCUUGUA
This 429-nucleotide ribosomal RNA is filed under the name uncultured Gammaproteobacteria bacterium. RNAcentral's name for it is "bacterial SSU rRNA". It matches the Rfam family "Bacterial small subunit ribosomal RNA", at positions 958 to 1385 of the family's 1533-position model. The record is from RNAcentral. Lineage: Bacteria; Pseudomonadati; Pseudomonadota; Gammaproteobacteria.